Molecule: long non-coding RNA, 600 nt
Organism: Polypterus senegalus (gray bichir)
Lineage: Eukaryota; Metazoa; Chordata; Cladistia; Polypteriformes; Polypteridae
Exons: 3
Source: RefSeq, a predicted model, not a curated record
UGAUUGGCGAGAAAAAAAAAGAGUGGAGUGGAUGGCCAGACGAGACUGUUGAGGCAGCACGCUGAAACAAGAGGGAGGAGAGUUCAUUGCCAGGAGAGACUGUUUAGGUUGCACGCCGAAACAAGAAGAGGACAGUGCAUUGUAAGGAGAGACUGUUGAGGCAGCACGCCGAAACAAGACAGAAAGAGAAAAGAGAGGUGCUGUUGAGGCAAAACGCUGAAACAAGACAGAAAGAGAAAAAGGGGCGCUGCUGAGGCAAGAUGCCGAAGCAAGAUGGAAAGACAGACAGAAGAACUAACUUUAGCACACGUCUAAAACAUAAAAGGAGUUGGGUGAUAAAGGGAAAGCUGUCAGGCAGGACACAAGUGCAGAAAUGGCUAUCAGUGAGUAAAGUGGUUGUUUGAGAAAGAGGGAGACGGAAGCAUAAAGGAGGUACCCGAGUAUAAGGAGGAAGAAAUAAAACAAGCUGUCUACAGACCAGAGAGAGCAAAAGGACUGUAGAGUAAGAUGAACAGUGAAGUUGGCGAAGACAUGAGGUUCACAGCCAGUCUCCUUGAAAACUGAGCCUGCCGCCUUAACAAGUUUGUCCAGGCGUGAGAC